Molecule: long non-coding RNA, 1931 nt
Organism: Pongo pygmaeus (Bornean orangutan)
Lineage: Eukaryota; Metazoa; Chordata; Mammalia; Primates; Hominidae
Exons: 2
Source: RefSeq, a predicted model, not a curated record
AUGGGGUUUUGCCAUGUUGGCUAGGCUGUUCUCGAACUCCUGACCUCAUGUGAUCCACCCGCCUCAGCCUCCCAAAGUGCUGAGAUUACAGACAUGAGCCACCACGCCUGGCCGCGAUUAGAUCGUUGAUCUCAUUGCAGGUGAACCAGUCCAGACCCCCACCCAGGUUUUCCAGCUUGCUCGCUCCUCACGCUGUAGCUGUGUCCUGCGUUGCUGUGUUUCCACUGAAUCCAGCCCAUGUUUUCGCUCUUCCUGGCCUUGCGGGGAGCCAGGAUUGAAAGAUCCAGGAAGUGACAGGGGCCUGACUCAUCAUCUUGUAAGAGAGCUGGGGUUCUCCUAGAUCCAUGCUCGCACUGAGGUGAGAAAUGAGGAGCCAGAGCAGGGAGCCUCCUGGGGGUGGGCUGCCAACAUCAGGCAGACGGGGAAUGAUUUUCACUUGUAUGGUGGAGGAUGCCACACACAGACAUGACUAGAAAGAGCCUGGACCAUGUCCUGAGGUCAGCGACUGAGGUCCUGGGUGGGGCCAGCCAGGACCUGCCCGGGGGCUACUGCAUCUGAAUCAAUACCUCCAGGGACCCUACGUUGACACCCAUGGCCUCCCACUCUCCACCCCUCAGUCCUGCGUGCGGCACGUAGUGCUCACUGGGCGUCUCUGUAGGGGUUGAAGGCUGAGGCUGGAACAAGGGCGUGGCGGCCCCAGGCUCCAGGGCACGACGGUCCUUCCUCUUCCCCUUCUCAGCCACAUCUGGGGCUCCGUCCCUUCAGCCAAGGCUCCCUGGCGCUGUCCUUGGUGCUGACGCGGUUCUGGAAGUGCGGUUCCAGGGUGGCUGGUGCGGCUCCCGAUGGAAAAGCCCCACCAACCCCACAAAGCAGACUCGGGAGAGAACACGCCACACGUCUUUAGCGAAUCUUACCAACCCAGGGCCAAAGCGCCCUGCACCCCAGAGCAGCACUCGUGGUGGGAACACAGGCUGAUGUAAUCAACAGAAACGUGACUGCGGAGGAUGGGGAAGUCGGGAUGUCCUUAGCGUCCCAUGGAAAAAACAUAUUUCCUCCAGAUGGGAUCAUCGAUAACUUUUUUUGAGUCUUGAGGAAAACCCAGUCUCUCUUGGCGCUGAGGAGAAAACAUGGUGCAGCCCUUCUCAGUCCUCUAGCAACCCUGGACUCUGCAGGAGAAAAGAGAGAUUCCCUACAUUUGUUUCUAUGAGAGAAGGGAAGGCUGGAGCAGGGGAGUGGAGGAAAUCUCUGCAGUCCUCUUGGAAAGCAAACCCUUCUACACCUGUGAUCCCAUGCGAUUUAGCUGAGCCUUGAAUUAAAACUAGGCCAUGAUGGCACUUGGUGACACAAACAUCUGACAAAAGAGCUGUACCCUUUAUAUUUUCAAAGACUUCCUACAAAUUAAGGAAGGCAGAAGACCCAUUUAAUGGGCAAUGGACUUGAAGAGACACUUUACCAAGAACAUCCAAAUGGCCACACACACACAUACACACACAAACAGGAAUGUGUUCAACUUCAUUAGUCAUUAUGGAAAUUAAACCACAAGGAAGCACCAGAACACUGCAGCAGAAGAACUAAAAUGGAAAAGACGAACAACCAUUUGCAAGAAUAUGGGGCAAAUGAAGCUUCCUCACAUUGCUGGCAGGAUGGUAAACUGGUAAGCUGCUUUGAGAAAUGGUUUGUCAGUAACUACAAAAGCCAAAGGUACGUAUAUCAUCACUCAGCGAUUCCACUGCUAGGCAGACACCUGAGGGAAAGAACUUCCUGUGUGCUCCAAAAGACAUGGACAGAAAUGUUCAUGGUAGCUUUAUUCAUAGUAGCCCAAAACUAGAAACAUAAAAUGUCCAUGAAGAGAGGGAUGAAAACAAACUGUAAUACAUUCAUACGAUAAAUACUACACAGCAAUAAAAAUAAAAACACACAGCAUGGAUCCA